RNAcentral lists this non-coding RNA (26 nucleotides) under Homo sapiens (human). Lineage: Eukaryota; Metazoa; Chordata; Mammalia; Primates; Hominidae. The record is from RNAcentral.
UCUUAAGAGUCCAAUGCCCACCGAAA